RNAcentral lists this ribosomal RNA (1442 nucleotides) under metagenome. Its description in RNAcentral is "bacterial LSU rRNA". It matches the Rfam family "Bacterial large subunit ribosomal RNA", at positions 1466 to 2925 of the family's 2925-position model. The record is from RNAcentral.
GUGGGGACACGUAAGGAGAGCGGGAGCCGGGGAUGGAUUGUCCCGGUACAAGCGAGGUACCAGUAUGGUAGGAAAAUCCGCCAUGUAAUGGGAAGACGUGAUGUGGAGUGAAAUAUAGUAACGAAGCCCGUGAGCCAUGCGUCAAGAAAAGCCGCUAUUGUUUAUAUUGUACCCGUACCGUAAACCGACACAGGUGGAUGAGGAGAGAAUCCUAAGGCCGGCGGAAGAAGUAUUGCCAAGGAACUCGGCAAAAUGGCCCCGUAACUUAGGGAGAAGGGGUGCCUGCGAGAGCAGGCCGCAGAGAAUAGGCUCAAGCAACUGUUUAGCAAAAACACAGGUCUAUGCGAAACCGAAAGGUGAGGUAUAUGGGCUGACGCCUGCCCGGUGCUGGAAGGUUAAGAGGAGAGGUCAGACGCAAGUCGAAGCUUUGAAUUUAAGCCCCAGUAAACGGCGGCCGUAACGAUAACGGUCCUAAGGUAGCGAAAUUCCUUGUCGGGUAAGUUCCGACCCGCACGAAAGGCGUAAUGAUUUGAGCGCUGUCUCGGCAAUACAUCCGGUGAAAUUGAAGUGCCAGUGAAGAUGCUGGCUACCCGCGCCAGGACGGAAAGACCCCAUGGAGCUUUACUCCAGUUUGGCACUGGGGUCCGGUGUUGCAUGUACAGGAUAGGUGGGAGGCUGAGAAACGGUAACGUCAGUUGCCGCGGAGCCGCUGUUGGGAUACCACCCUUGUGAUAUUGGGCUUCUAACCAGCCGCCGUGAUCCGGCGGUGGGACAAUGCCAGGCGGGGAGUUUGACUGGGGCGGUCGCCUCCGAAAGGGUAUCGGAGGCGCCCAAAGGUUCCCUCAGAAUGGACGGAAACCAUUCGAAGAGUGCAAAGGCAGAAGGGAGCUUGACUGCGACACCGACGGGUGGAGCAGGUACGAAAGUAGGGCUUAGUGAUCCGGUGGUAUUAAGUGGGAAUGCCAUCGCUCAACGGAUAAAAGCUACCCUGGGAUAACAGGCUUAUCACUCCCAAGAGUUCACAUCGACGGAGUGGUUUGGCACCUCGAUGUCGGCUCAUCGCAUCCUGGGGCUGUAGUAGGUCCCAAGGGUUGGGCUGUUCGCCCAUUAAAGCGGUACGCGAGCUGGGUUCAGAACGUCGUGAGACAGUUCGGUCCCUAUCCGGCGUGGGCGCAGGAUAUCUGAGAGGAGCUGUCCUUAGUACGAGAGGACCGGGAUGGACGGACCGCUGGUGGACCGGUUGGCUUGCCAAAGCCAUGGCCGGGUAGCCAAGUCCGGAAGGGAUAAACGCUGAAGGCAUCUAAGCGUGAAGCCCCCCUCAAGAUGAGAUAUCCCAUUCUUUAAGAAGUAAACCCCCUUGAAGACGACGAGGUAGAUAGGGCAGAGGUGGAAGUGUGGUAACACACGCAGCUGACUGUUACUAAUCGGGUGAGGGCUUGACC